Molecule: long non-coding RNA, 1991 nt
Organism: Dermochelys coriacea (leatherback sea turtle)
Lineage: Eukaryota; Metazoa; Chordata; Testudines; Dermochelyidae
Exons: 2
Source: RefSeq, a predicted model, not a curated record
AAGGUGCUUCCACACAUUGUCAGUGCUCUAGUGAUUCUGAAAAUACCCAGGAACAAUUUCCAAAGCUCAGUGCAGUCCCAGGCUAACUGGGUCUGUCACAUAAGAGCUGGCCAUACAGCCGCUACACUGGUUGACAGUAGUUGUCAGCAACAGGUCCUCUCCUGAACUGGUGAAGACAGUUUAACUGGUGGUGCAGUUGGGACGUGGCCAUUUUCACUACCAAGAGGGAGAGCGUUAUUAAGAUAUGGUCUCAGCCUAAGUGAUUGUGCUUAAUUCACUUGGUCUCAGUCACACUCCCAUACUUGUGGCUUGGACUUGAGCCUGGAUGAUUCUUUCUGGGGCUCAGGUAAGAACUUGGACAAUCUUUCCCACGCUGCCCUCAGAAAUCCACUUUUUUUCUAUCACAUUCUCAGAAGUACCCUUAGGGCUUGUCUACACACAAAAGAAGUAUCAUUUCAACUAUACGUAUAUAGUUAAAGCAGUGCAGCCUGCCCCCCGGUGUGGAUGCUGAUAUACCAAUAUGACAAUGCUGUACCAGGAUAGCUGAUUUCUGUAAGGGAAGGAAAAUAAACUAUACCAGUAUCUGCAUCAACACUAGGGGUUGUACCAGUAUAACUAUUGUCCUAUAAUCACAGUAUAAUCACAGUCCUAACCAACAUUUCUUAUACUGGUACAAACCUAUGUGUAGACAAGGUCUUAGUACAGAGUACUGUGCAUUCUAGGGCCACAGAUUCCAAGCUCCAUAAGCAGGCAUUGACAGAAAAGAAUGUAGCAACUCCAAAGGAUUAAGGGCCCUGAAGAGCACACUAAUGAUACCGUUAUCUUCUCAGUGAUGUGUGGAUUAGAGCUAUCCUUGGCAGACUCUGCUAUGAUCAUACAUUGAAGAACAUAGGUUUUCAGUGACAUCUUUUAUGAUUUAUUUACAUAUUUCCAUAAAACAAUCAAGGGAAAUUUAACACACAAAACUCAUAUUAAAAAUUACAUUAAAGGUUUAGGUUAAAUGGCUGAGAGAUGAGGAUUUGCAGACUGCUCAACCCUUGAUACCGAAAGGCUUUGAGAAUAAUGUGAGAACAGAGAGGAAAUGUUAGAGCAGGACUGGAAUUCAGAAUUCCUGGGUUUUAGCUAUGACUGUACCACUAGUUCUUGCAUUGCUCAUUUACUACACAUUCCUAUGGAAAUCAGCAAGUGCUGUUGUGACAAAUGAAGGGGAGGAGGGGUAGCUCCCUUUAAUGGACCCAGUCAGUUAGCUAUAAAAUCCCUCUCAGUAGCUGUUCUCUACUUGCUUUACCUGUAAAGGGUUAAAAGUUUCACUGCAAUGCAUAGGUAAAAGGAAGUGAGUGGGCACCUGGCCCAAAGAGCCAAUGGGAAGGCUAGAACUUUUUAAAAUUGAAACAAGACUCCCCUUUUGUCUGUCUGUUGUUGUUCUCAUGGAGAAGCAGACACAGAGCAACUAUGCUAUAAGAAACUUGGGGCCAGGUAUGAAAAAUCAUCAGUAUCAUACCUAGAAACUAAUCAUUUGAAAUCCCAGAUAUGUAAGUAGAUCAGAAAGUUGCGAUUAGGUUUAUCUUUUUAUUUCUUUAUGGCUUGUGGAUUCCUCUGUGCAAACCCCAAAUGCUUUUGUUUUGCUUGUAACCUUUAAGAUGGACCUCAAGAAAGAUAUUCUUAAUGCUUAAUCCUUGCAAGAGUUUUUUUAAAUCUAGCAAUAGCCUGAGUUUCCAGGUGUAUUUUCUUUCUUUUUGUUUUUUAAUAAAAUUUACCUUUUUUAAGAACAAGAUUGUAUUUUUGUGUCCUAAGAGGUUUGUGCACAUGUUGUUUAAUUAGGUGGUGGCAACAGCCGAUUUCCUUUGUUUUUCUUUCUCAGCUCUUCCCCAGAGGGGGCGUGAAAGGGUGUGAAGGUACCCCACAGGAACGAAUUCCCAAAUGCGCUUUCCUGGGUUCUCAAAGGGGUUUUGCACUUGGGUGGUGGCAGCAUCUACCCAUCCAAGGUCAGA